AGAGUUUGAUCCUGGCUCAGAUUGAACGCUGGCGGAAUGCUUUACACAUGCAAGUCGAGCGGCAGCGCGGGGGCAACCCUGGCGGCGAGCGGCGAACGGGUGAGUAAUAUAUCGGAACGUACCCCGUCGUGGGGGGAUAACACAGCGAAAGCUGUGCUAAUACCGCAUACGACCUGAGGGUGAAAGCGGGGGAUCGCAAGACCUCGCGCGAUGGGAGCGGCCGAUAUCGGAUUAGCUUGUUGGUGAGGUAAAGGCUCACCAAGGCGACGAUCCGUAGCUGGUCUGAGAGGACGACCAGCCACACUGGAACUGAGACACGGUCCAGACUCCUACGGGAGGCAGCAGUGGGGAAUUUUGGACAAUGGGGGCAACCCUGAUCCAGCCAUUCCGCGUGAGUGAAGAAGGCCUUCGGGUUGUAAAGCUCUUUCAGCAGGAACGAAACGGUGGCCACUAAUACUGGCUACUAAUGACGGUACCUGAAGAAGAAGCACCGGCUAACUACGUG
RNAcentral lists this ribosomal RNA (505 nucleotides) under uncultured bacterium. RNAcentral describes it as "bacterial SSU rRNA". It matches the Rfam family "Bacterial small subunit ribosomal RNA", at positions 8 to 507 of the family's 1533-position model. The record is from RNAcentral.